GACGAACGCUGGCGGCGUGCCUAAUACAUGCAAGUAGAACGCUGAAGGAGGAGCUUGCUUCUCCGGAUGAGUUGCGAACGGGUGAGUAACGCGUAGGUAACCUGCCUGGUAGCGGGGGAUAACUAUUGGAAACGAUAGCUAAUACCGCAUAACAGUAGAUGUUGCAUGACAUUUGCUUAAAAGGUGCAAUUGCAUCACUACCAGAUGGACCUGCGUUGUAUUAGCUAGUUGGUGAGGUAACGGCUCACCAAGGCGACGAUACAUAGCCGACCUGAGAGGGUGAUCGGCCACACUGGGACUGAGACACGGCCCAGACUCCUACGGGAGGCAGCAGUAGGGAAUCUUCGGCAAUGGACGGAAGUCUGACCGAGCAACGCCGCGUGAGUGAAGAAGGUUUUCGGAUCGUAAAGCUCUGUUGUAAGAGAAGAACGAGUGUGAGAGUGGAAAGUUCACACUGUGACGGUAUCUGGCCAGAAAGGGACGGCUAACUACGUG
RNAcentral lists this ribosomal RNA (495 nucleotides) under uncultured bacterium. Its description in RNAcentral is "partial 16S ribosomal RNA". It matches the Rfam family "Bacterial small subunit ribosomal RNA", at positions 28 to 507 of the family's 1533-position model. The record is from RNAcentral.